This 447-nucleotide ribosomal RNA is filed under the name uncultured bacterium. RNAcentral's name for it is "bacterial SSU rRNA". It matches the Rfam family "Bacterial small subunit ribosomal RNA", at positions 355 to 825 of the family's 1533-position model. The record is from RNAcentral.
UGGGGAAUAUUGGACAAUGGGCGCAAGCCUGAUCCAGCCAUGCCGCGUGAGUGACGAAGGCCUUAGGGUUGUAAAGCUCUUUCGGCGGGGAAGAUAAUGACGGUACCCGCAGAAGAAGCCCCGGCUAACUCUGUGCCAGCAGCCGCGGUAAUACAGAGGGGGCAAGCGUUGUUCGGAAUCACUGGGCGUAAAGCGCACGUAGGUGGAUAGUUAAGUUCGGGGUGAAAUCCCAGGGCUCAACCCUGGAACUGCCUCGGAUACUGGCUAUCUCGAGUCCGGAAGAGGUGAGUGGAAUUCCUAGUGUAGAGGUGAAAUUCGUAGAUAUUAGGAAGAACACCGGUGGCGAAGGCGGCUCACUGGUCCGGUACUGACACUGAGGUGCGAAAGCGUGGGGAGCAAACAGGAUUAGAUACCCAUGUAGUCCCUGAGCGGGCUGGCAAGGCGCAU